Molecule: long non-coding RNA, 502 nt
Filed under: Homo sapiens (human)
Lineage: Eukaryota; Metazoa; Chordata; Mammalia; Primates; Hominidae
Description: HSALNT0340982
Source: RNAcentral
CGAAGACCCUGUCCCAGAUGUUGUGCUCUGCACCUCAUGGUUGGGUGGCUUCCAGCAGCUUCCUGAACCUGAGCCUGCUCUGCCAUCUGUACAAUGGGCACAACAUCAGCCUCACAUGGCUGAGAUGAGGCCAUGGGACACAAAGAUGGGGUCUUACCAUGUCAUCCAGGCUGGUCUCAAACUCGUGGGCUCAAGCGAUCCUCUUGCCUCUGCCUCUCAAGUAGCUGGGAUUACAGGUGUGAGCCAUUGCACCCGCCCAUUGCCUGUCAUUUGCAUGCAGAUGCUAUUCUAACAUGAAACCUUUUACUCAAAUAUUUAUCUACAAUGGAGUCUCUCCGGAGUCAAGCCAUGUCUCCACCGUGGUGAGGCCAUCAAUUCAUUUAAAGUGGUUUCCCAGAGCAAAAGCUGCACCUAUGUGCAAGUGAUGCCCACACUGAGUGUGUAUGGACAGACUUCAGGUGUCUUCUAUCAGGUGGGUUCCUGCUCCAGGCCCACCUUGUCC